AGCAGCAGCCGCGGGAAUACGGAGGGUGCGAGCGUUAAUCGGAAUAACUGGGCGUAAAGGGCACGCAGGCGGUGACUUAAGUGAGGUGUGAAAGCCCCGGGCUUAACCUGGGAAUUGCAUUUCAUACUGGGUCGCUAGAGUACUUUAGGGAGGGGUAGAAUUCCACGUGUAGCGGUGAAAUGCGUAGAGAUGUGGAGGAAUACCGAAGGCGAAGGCAGCCCCUUGGGAAUGUACUGACGCUCAUGUGCGAAAGCGUGGGGAGCAAACAGGAUUAGAUACCCCUGUAGUCCCUGUCUCUUAUAC
Molecule: ribosomal RNA, 303 nt
Filed under: uncultured bacterium
Lineage: Bacteria
Description: partial 16S ribosomal RNA
Rfam family: Bacterial small subunit ribosomal RNA
Source: RNAcentral